This is a long non-coding RNA of Daphnia magna, 641 nucleotides long. RefSeq lists it as uncharacterized. The record is from RefSeq and is a predicted model, not a curated record. The transcript is spliced from 2 exons. NCBI's taxonomy places the organism in Eukaryota, Metazoa, Arthropoda, Branchiopoda, Diplostraca, Daphniidae.
AACACGUGUGCAAUACGUGUCCAUUUCCUCUGUAAAAUAGAAAAUGAUCAAGGAUUUCUUUAAUAGCAUUUCCCUACGAAAAAAAUUUCAGAGGUCGAGAAAGGACGUUUUGUUUUGUGGUCGUAUGACGAAAAGAAUAGCUACAGCUGGCACCAAUUUUUCAAGGACAGUUUUGAAAUACGAACCAGCGCACGUGUUUUUACUAGCCAUACCCUAAACGAAACUCAAUUAAGUUACAUACUUAGUCGCACUGGAUAAAAGUUAUGAGCGGCGCUUUCUUAUCCGGCAAUUGGAAGAAAAGUCAAGUUUUAUUCUUUUGUGGAUGCAUAACCUCAAAUGGAUGAAACCAUCAGAUGAAACUGCGGUCUUGCCCCCAGUGUUAAUGCGAUUUCAACUUCGGAUUGGCUAACCGUCGUAAAACAAGAAUAAGAGUGGGAGGAAUGGGGCGAUUCCGGCGCCAUUUUUUCGGGAUGGAUCGAUCCGUCGAUUAACAUUCGAAGCUAGGACAGAACAUAGAAGGAAUGCAUAAAUCACGGAAACAAUAGCAAAUAUUGUAUUUUUUUAAACAUCUCCUCUGUUAAUUGAUUGCCAAUGUUUGUGAGUAAUGGGACAAUUGACAUAAAAGUAUAUAAGAAAAAAGA